Molecule: ribosomal RNA, 1026 nt
Filed under: freshwater metagenome
Description: bacterial LSU rRNA
Rfam family: Bacterial large subunit ribosomal RNA
Source: RNAcentral
AGUACAGCUUGGGAGACAGAGCACCGGGUGCUAACGUCCGGACUCAAGAGGGAAACAACCCAGACCGCCAGCUAAGGUCCCUAAAAUUGGCUAAGUGGGAAACGAAGUGGGAAGGCUAAAACAGUCAGGAUGUUGGCUUAGAAGCAGCCAUCAUUUAAAGAAAGCGUAAUAGCUCACUGAUCGAGUCGUCCUGCGCGGAAGAUGUAACGGGGCUAAGCCAGUUACCGAAGCUGCGGAUUUGCAAUUUAUUGCAAGUGGUAGGAGAGCGUUCUGUAGGCCUGUGAAGGUGUCUUGUAAAGGAUGCUGGAGGUAUCAGAAGUGCGAAUGCUGACAUGAGUAGCGUUAAAGGGGGUGAAAAGCCCCCUCGCCGUAAGCGCAAGGUUUUCUACGCAACGUUCAUCGGCGUAGAGUGAGUCGGCCCCUAAGGCGAGGCAGAGAUGCGUAGCUGAUGGGAAACAGGUCAAUAUUCCUGUACCGAUGUGUAGUGCGAUGUGGGGACGGAGAAGGUUAGCUCAGCAGACUGUUGGAUAUGUCUGUUCAAGCCUGUAGUCGUGCCUGGUAGGUAAAUCCGCCGGGCUUAGAUGAGGGGUGAUAACGAGGAAGCUUGCUUCCGAAGUGAGUGAUACCCUGCUUCCAGGAAAAGCCACUAAGCUUCAGCUACACACGACCGUACCGCAAACCGACACUGGUGCGCGAGAUGAGUAUUCUAAGGCGCUUGAGAGAACUCAGGAGAAGGAACUCGGCAAAUUGAUACCGUAACUUCGGGAGAAGGUAUGCCCCAAGUAGGUGAACUCGAACAGAGGGAGCCCAACGGGGUUGCAAAAAAUCGGUGGCUGCGACUGUUUAAUAAAAACACAGCACUCUGCAAACACGAAAGUGGACGUAUAGGGUGUGACGCCUGCCCGGUGCUGGAAGAUUAAAUGAUGGGGUGCAAGCUCUUGAUUGAAGUCCCAGUAAACGGCGGCCGUAACUAUAACGGUCCUAAGGUAGCGAAAUUCCUUGUCGGGUAAGUUCCGACCUGCACGA